GAUGAACGCUGGCGGCGUGCCUAAUACAUGCAAGUCGAGCGACCGGACGAGAAGCUUGCUUCUCUGAUGUUAGCGGCGGACGGGUGAGUAACACGUGGAUAACCUACCUAUAAGACUGGGAUAACUUCGUGAAACCGUAGCUAAUACCGGAUAAUAUUUUGAACCGCAUGGUUCAAAAGUGAAAGACGGUCUUGCUGUCACUUAUAGAUGGAUCCGCGCUGCAUUAGCUAGUUGGUAAGGUAACGGCUUACCAAGGCAACGAUGCAUAGCCGACCUGAGAGGGUGAUCGGCCACACUGGAACUGAGACACGGUCCAGACUCCUACGGGAGGCAGCAGUAGGGAAUCUUCCGCAAUGGGCGAAAGCCUGACGGAGCAACGCCGCGUGAGUGAUGAAGGUCUUCGGAUCGUAAAACUCUGUUAUUAGGGAAGAACAGAUGUGUAAGUAACUGUGCACAUCUUGACGGUACCUAAUCAGAAAGCCACGGCUAACUACGUG
This 497-nucleotide ribosomal RNA is filed under the name uncultured bacterium. RNAcentral's name for it is "partial 16S ribosomal RNA". It matches the Rfam family "Bacterial small subunit ribosomal RNA", at positions 28 to 507 of the family's 1533-position model. The record is from RNAcentral.